GCGUUCCCGCUGUUUGGGGUCUUAUCCCUUCGGGAAUCUGCGAAGUAGCAGGCCCACUUCCGCGUAAGCAAGAAAGAAGCUUCACGCCUGAAAAUGCAAAAAAGGAACGUAGGAAAGCGUGACCCGCGAGAAGCAGGAAAUGGACUCAGUCAUUCUCCAAGAAACUUUAGUUCAUUGGAAGGACUGAUGCUGAAGCUGAAACUCCAAUACUUUGGCCACCUCAUGCGAAGAGUUGACUCAUUGGAAAAGACCCUGAUGCUGGGAGGGAUUGGGGGCAAGAGGAGAAGGGGACGACAGAGGAUGAGAUGGCUGGAUGGCAUCACCGACUUGAUGGACAUGAGUUUGGGAUCCUGAAUUGUACUUCUCUUAAAGUCUUUUUCAGGCUGUGCUGUCAUUUUCAUCAAGUGGAUCGAAAUUUUAAAAGAUGUUUGUUGGCUGUUUUUAUCAUUAGUUUUCUUGAUGUUUUGAAAUUUUG
Long non-coding RNA from Budorcas taxicolor (takin), 475 nucleotides. RefSeq lists it as uncharacterized. NCBI's taxonomy places the organism in Eukaryota, Metazoa, Chordata, Mammalia, Artiodactyla, Bovidae. The transcript has 3 exons. The record is from RefSeq and is a predicted model, not a curated record.